RNAcentral lists this ribosomal RNA (774 nucleotides) under uncultured bacterium. Its description in RNAcentral is "bacterial SSU rRNA". It matches the Rfam family "Bacterial small subunit ribosomal RNA", at positions 125 to 934 of the family's 1533-position model. The record is from RNAcentral.
UCUGCCCUUUGGCCUGGAAUAACACGAGGAAACUUGUGCUAAUACCGGAUAAGUCUUUACGGAGAAAGCUUUAUGCACCAUUGGAUGAGCCUGCACUUGAUUAGUUUGUUGGUGGGGUAAUGGCCUACCAAGACUGUGAUCAAUAGCUGAUUUGAGAGGAUGAUCAGCCACAUUGGGACUGAGACAUCGGCCCAAACUCCUACGGGAGGCAGCAGUGGGGAAUCUUGCACAAUGGAGGAAACUCUGAUGCAGCGAUGCCGCGUGAGUGAAGAAGGCCCUUGGGUUGUAAAGCUCUUUCGUCGGGGAAGAAAAUGACUGUACCCGAAUAAGAAGGUCCGGCUAACUUCGUGCCAGCAGCCGCGGUAAUACGAAGGGACCUAGCGUAGUUCGGAAUUACUGGGCUUAAAGAGUUCGUAGGUGGUUGAAAAAGUUAGUGGUGAAAUCCCAGAGCUUAACUCUGGAACUGCCAUUAAAACUUUCAGCUAGAGUAUGAUAGAGGAAAGCAGAAUUUCUAGUGUAGAGGUGAAAUUCGUAGAUAUUAGAAAGAAUACCAAUUGCGAAGGCAGCUUUCUGGAUCAUUACUGACACUGAGGAACGAAAGCAUGGGUAGCGAAGAGGGAUUAGAUACCCUCGUAGUCCAUGCCGUAAACGAUGUGUGUUAGACGUUGGAAAUUUAUUUUCAGUGUCGCAGGGAAACCGAUAAACACACCGCCUGGGGAGUACGACCGCAAGGUUAAAACUCAAAUGAAUUGACGGGGACCCGCACAAGUAGUG